RNAcentral lists this unclassified non-coding RNA (148 nucleotides) under soil metagenome. RNAcentral's name for it is "partial internal transcribed spacer 1". The record is from RNAcentral.
CCGAGUUUACAACUCCCAAACCCCUGUGAACAUACCUAUACGUUGCCUCGGCGGAUCAGCCCGCGCCCCGUAAAAAGGGACGGCCCGCCCGAGGACCCCUAAACUCUGUUUUUAGUGGAACUUUUGAGUAAAACAAACAAAUAAAUCA